RNAcentral lists this ribosomal RNA (497 nucleotides) under uncultured bacterium. RNAcentral describes it as "partial 16S ribosomal RNA". It matches the Rfam family "Bacterial small subunit ribosomal RNA", at positions 28 to 507 of the family's 1533-position model. The record is from RNAcentral.
GAUGAACGCUGGCGGCGUGCCUAAUACAUGCAAGUCGAGCGAACAGACGAGGAGCUUGCUCCUCUGACGUUAGCGGCGGACGGGUGAGUAACACGUGGAUAACCUACCUAUAAGACUGGGAUAACUUCGGGAAACCGGAGCUAAUACCGGAUAAUAUAUUGAACCGCAUGGUUCAAUAGUGAAAGACGGUUUUGCUGUCACUUAUAGAUGGAUCCGCGCCGCAUUAGCUAGUUGGUAAGGUAACGGCUUACCAAGGCAACGAUGCGUAGCCGACCUGAGAGGGUGAUCGGCCACACUGGAACUGAGACACGGUCCAGACUCCCACGGGAGGCAGCAGUAGGGAAUCUUCCGCAAUGGGCGAAAGCCUGACGGAGCAACGCCGCGUGAGUGAUGAAGGUCUUCGGAGCGUAAAACUCUGUUAUUAGGGAAGAACAAAUGUGUAAGUAACUAUGCACGUCUUGACGGUACCUAAUCAGAAAGCCACGGCUAACUACGUG